UAAAAGAGAAGGAUCACCUAUUUCAGAAC
Molecule: non-coding RNA, 29 nt
Filed under: Rattus norvegicus (Norway rat)
Lineage: Eukaryota; Metazoa; Chordata; Mammalia; Rodentia; Muridae
Source: RNAcentral